Molecule: ribosomal RNA, 253 nt
Filed under: uncultured bacterium
Lineage: Bacteria
Description: partial 16S ribosomal RNA
Rfam family: Bacterial small subunit ribosomal RNA
Source: RNAcentral
UACGUAGGGGGCAAGCGUUGUCCGGAAUCAUUGGGCGUAAAGAGCGUGUAGGCGGCCCGGUCAGUCCGCCGUGAAAGUCCAGGGCUCAACCCUGGAAUGCCGGUGGAUACUGCCGGGCUGGAGUCCGGAAGAGGCGAGUGGAAUUCCUGGUGUAGCAGUGAAAUGCGUAGAUAUCGGGAGGAAUACCGAUGGCGAAGGCAGGUCUCUGGGCUGACACUGACGCUCAUGCACGAAAGCGUGGGGAGCAAACAGG